CUCUCUCCACUGAUAACGUUUUUCGAAAAUAAAAACUCCACACGUUACCUCACCUUCACUCACUCAUAUAUCACUCUCCACUCAGCAACGCUCUCUCAGCGAAAAGCAAAAAAAAAAAUACAAAAGAAAAAGGAUAAACAAAAAGGAAAAGAAGGAGAAGGUUCUCUGCAUUGUUCAUGGUCUUCUCCAACGUUUUCGGCAACAAACCUCUUCACUCUCCACCGCCAUUAACGUC
This 235-nucleotide long non-coding RNA is filed under the name Lathyrus oleraceus (garden pea). RNAcentral describes it as "Pisum sativum (pea) long non-coding RNA (PSAT_LNC018367)". The record is from RNAcentral. Lineage: Eukaryota; Viridiplantae; Streptophyta; Magnoliopsida; Fabales; Fabaceae.